GACGAACGCUGGCGGCGUGCUUAACACAUGCAAGUCGAACGGAAAGGCCCUGCUUUUGUGGGGUGCUCGAGUGGCGAACGGGUGAGUAACACGUGAGUAACCUGCCCUUGACUUUGGGAUAACUUCAGGAAACUGGGGCUAAUACCGGAUAGGAGCUCCUGCUGCAUGGGGGGGGUUGGAAAGUUUCGGCGGUUGGGGAUGGACUCGCGGCUUAUCAGCUUGUUGGUGGGGUAGUGGCUUACCAAGGCUUUGACGGGUAGCCGGCCUGAGAGGGUGACCGGCCACAUUAGGACUGAGAUACGGCCCAGACUCCUACGGGAGGCAGCAGUGGGGAAUAUUGCACAAUGGGCGGAAGCCUGAUGCAGCAACGCCGCGUGCGGGAUGACGGCCUUCGGGUUGUAAACCGCUUUCGCCUGUGACGAAGCGUGAGUGACGGUAAUGGGUAAAGAAGCACCGGCUAACUACGUG
RNAcentral lists this ribosomal RNA (468 nucleotides) under uncultured bacterium. RNAcentral describes it as "partial 16S ribosomal RNA". It matches the Rfam family "Bacterial small subunit ribosomal RNA", at positions 28 to 507 of the family's 1533-position model. The record is from RNAcentral.